RNAcentral lists this ribosomal RNA (497 nucleotides) under uncultured bacterium. RNAcentral's name for it is "partial 16S ribosomal RNA". It matches the Rfam family "Bacterial small subunit ribosomal RNA", at positions 28 to 507 of the family's 1533-position model. The record is from RNAcentral.
GAUGAACGCUGGCGGCGUGCCUAAUACAUGCAAGUCGAGCGGACGGACGAGAAGCUUGUUUCCCUGCUGUUAGCGGCUGACGGGCGAGUAACGCGUGGAUCACCUACUUAUAUGUCUGGGAUGACUUCGGGAAAACGGUGAUACUACUAGAUCAUACUAUGAACGGCAGGGUUCAGAAGUGCAUGACGGUUUUGGUGUUUCUAUGAGAUGGUUCCGCGCUGCAUUAGCUAGUUGGUAAGGUAACGGCUUACCAAGGCAACGAUGCAUAGCUGACCUGAGAGGAUGAUCGGCCACACUGGAACUGAGACACGGUCCAGACUCCUACGGGAGGCAGCAGUAGGGAAUAUUCCGCAAUGGGCGAAAGCCUGACCGAGCAACGCCGCGUGAGUGAUGAAGGCCUUCGGAUCGUAAAGCCCUGUUAUUAGGGAAGAACAUAUGCAGAAGUAUCCGUGCACAUCCUGACGGUACCUAAUCAGAAAGCCACGGCUAACUACGUG